This 148-nucleotide non-coding RNA is filed under the name Nomascus leucogenys (northern white-cheeked gibbon). The record is from Rfam by way of RNAcentral. Lineage: Eukaryota; Metazoa; Chordata; Mammalia; Primates; Hylobatidae.
GCUGGGCAUAGUGGUUGAUGCCUGUAAUCCCAGCUACUCAGGAGGCUGAGUCAGGAGAAUCACUUGAACCCAGGAGGCAGAGGCUGCAGUGAGCCAAGAUCGUGCCACUGAACUCCAGCCUGGGUGACAGAGUGAGACCCUGUCUCAA